CAGCCACAGUCGGUGCUGUCAACAUCUACGUAUUGAUUCCUCUGAUUCUGUUGGGAGUUCUGUGCAUCUUGUGCCUCUGCUACCGCUGGAAGCGACAACGCCAAAUGGAUAGAAACAAAGCUGUUCUGUGUUGGAUUCUUCCAAUGAGCACCAAGGAUAUCCAGCAUGGACUGUACACAAAAAAUGAUAAACAAGGCCCUGACAAGCUUCCUCCUCCUAAAAGUGCCUUGGACACAUGACUGCCUGGGAUUGGGAUAAUUUUGCCUAACAGUGAAAUGAAAACAGGGGAAGGUUUGCAAAACUGAUAUUUUUGUAUUGGUAUUGAUGUAUUUGUGUUGAUUUGUUAUAUCUCCUCAGACUUCUGCAUGAAUUGCAUUACAUGCAACUUGCCACAUUUUACACAAAGAAAAAUACCACAAUAUAACUGUUUUAAUAUUUAUUAGUUUGAAUAAAUGACCCAAUAACCCGAGUUGUAUAUAGAUCGCAGUAGCUAUUUAUUUGAGACUGUUAAAUUAUAGUUGUGGUUCUGUACAAUAAAAAGCAAGUUUUGUAUUUUUUUCCCAUCUUUGCAUUAAACUUUAUUUUGGUUAGGCUUCUAAUGCCACAGGCCCCAAAGCUGUUUCUUUGAGGCCUGGGGCCUAUGCUGGAUUUUAUGAUGCUGGGAGUCUUGAAUGAUCUACAAGAGGUAAUAGAUAAAACAUAAAAUAACUUUGCAGUUGGUAUUCUUCCAAAAGGUGCUGCAAAUUUUAUCUGUAUUUUUUA
This is a non-coding RNA of Pelodiscus sinensis (Chinese soft-shelled turtle), 762 nucleotides long. Lineage: Eukaryota; Metazoa; Chordata; Testudines; Trionychidae. The record is from RefSeq and is a predicted model, not a curated record.